Molecule: ribosomal RNA, 492 nt
Filed under: uncultured bacterium
Lineage: Bacteria
Description: partial 16S ribosomal RNA
Rfam family: Bacterial small subunit ribosomal RNA
Source: RNAcentral
AGUGAACGCUGGCGGUAGGCCUAACACAUGCAAGUCGAACGGCAGCACAGUAAGAGCUUGCUCUUACGGGUGGCGAGUGGCGGACGGGUGAGGAAUACAUCGGAAUCUACUUUUUCGUGGGGGAUAACGUAGGGAAACUUACGCUAAUACCGCAUACGACCUACGGGUGAAAGCAGGGGAUCUUCGGACCUUGCGCGAUUGAAUGAGCCGAUGUCGGAUUAGCUAGUUGGCGGGGUAAAGGCCCACCAAGGCGACGAUCCGUAGCUGGUCUGAGAGGAUGAUCAGCAAAACUGGAACUGAGACACGGUCCAGACUCCUACGGGAGGCAGCAGUGGGGAAUAUUGGACAAUGGGCGCAAGCCUGAUCCAGCCAUACCGCGUGGGUGAAGAAGGCCUUCGGGUUGUAAAGCCCUUUUGUUGGGAAAGAAAAGCAGCAGGUUAAUACCCCGCUGUUCUGACGGUACCCAAAGAAUAAGCACCGGCUAACUUCGUG